RNAcentral lists this transfer RNA (58 nucleotides) under Camelus bactrianus (Bactrian camel). It matches the Rfam family "tRNA". From Rfam's summary of the family: Transfer RNA (tRNA) molecules are approximately 80 nucleotides in length. Their secondary structure includes four short double-helical elements and three loops (D, anti-codon, and T loops). The record is from Rfam by way of RNAcentral. Lineage: Eukaryota; Metazoa; Chordata; Mammalia; Artiodactyla; Camelidae. RNAcentral also lists the same sequence under 2 other names.
GUGGGUAUAGCUCAGUGGUAGAGUGCAUGCAUCCUGGGUUCAAUCCCCAGUACCUCCA